Molecule: ribosomal RNA, 241 nt
Filed under: uncultured bacterium
Lineage: Bacteria
Description: partial 16S ribosomal RNA
Rfam family: Bacterial small subunit ribosomal RNA
Source: RNAcentral
AAUCAACGCUGGCGGCGUGCCUAACACAUGCAAGUCGAACGCGAAAGCCCUUUCGGGGGUAAGUAGAGUGGCGUCCGGGUGAGUAACACGUAGGUAAUCUGCCUUCGGGUGGGGAAUAACCAGUCGAAAGAUUGGCCUAAUACCGCAUAAUGCAGCGGCACCUAAUGGUGAUUAGUUGUUAAAGCGGGGGAUCGUAAGACCUCGCGCCUGAAGAGGAGCCUGCGGCAGAUUAGCUAGNGGU